GGAGAAUGGAAGAUAAAGUUGGAGACACUUGUAACAAAACUUAAAGAAGGUGUCCCCAGCCUGUAAGAGACUUUCCAGAAAUUGCAAGUCUUGCCUUUAAUGCGGAAGACUCAAAGUUGUGCUUGAGGGAGAAUUUCUCUGCCUGUCCUUGGACAUCUGUCUGUAGAUACAGCUGUGGGCAAGACUCCUUCAACGACUGAUUCAAUUGGAGAGGUAGACCUACCUCAAGCCUUGUUUGGGGAUGCUCCUGCUCUUUGCCAUGAUGAGGCACUGGGUAGCACUGUUACAUCCAUUGAUGAGAGAUCGUUACCUGUAGGAGAAGGCUGCUGUCUGUCUUGUCUUUAUGAAGGCAUCUGUGGUGGCCUGGCUUAAUGGAGCCAUUUUUUGAAAACUGCAGGCUCUUAUAAUCCAAAAAUGGAGUUGCAGGCAAGUUGCAAAGAUGAAUCUUUGUAGAAACAAAUAUUCCUCUGUGACUUGUACACUGGGAUUUUCAUAUAGCAUCAUGGGGAGAUCCUGUGAGCCCUGG
This 526-nucleotide long non-coding RNA is filed under the name Phasianus colchicus (ring-necked pheasant). RNAcentral's name for it is "lncRNA (ENSPCLG00000011129.1)". Lineage: Eukaryota; Metazoa; Chordata; Aves; Galliformes; Phasianidae. The record is from RNAcentral.